UGCCCGUGUCCAGCCUGGCCACGGCCGCCGAGCCCGAGCGGGCAGGGGGCAGAGUCGCCCGCAGCUGCAGCUGAGCCAGCGGCUCCCCCUGCCCCGCGGCUUCAGCUCCGUGCAGCGGGCGCUGAGGAGGGCCCAGAAGCUCCCAGAGCAGCCCCCCACCUCCUCCUGGCCUUUCCCUCUCCACUGUCUCUCUCCAGGGGACUGGAGGGGCACAGGCCUGCAGCUACACCAACAACGCGCCUUCUCUGCCCCUCAGCUCACUAGGAACUCAGUGUGUGCCUGUCCCCCCAACCCUGCUCCUCGCAGACUGAAGCCCCAAAAGGCACAAGCUAAGAUUUCCUGUAUGAGCAGAGCACAGGUUCUCCUUCAGGCCUGGGGACAGAGUGAGAGAGGAACGCUCCUAACCCGCUGUGGCAUUUUUGCCAAUCCUGCAAGACUCUCAGCUGUAGGCAGGAGCCUGGGAUGACUGUGCAGUUCAGAAGGGGGAUAGAGAAGCAGCCCCCUGAACGGUCAACCCCACAGAAGCGAAUGCCACCAGCCCCCUUCCCGCUUCCACCAACUGCUGUUACCAUUCAGAGUUCACAUUCUGCCAGCCUCCACUGGGGCAGUUUGGGACUAGGGCUCCCAUUAUAUUAAGUGCUGUUGUACAAACACCUAGAAAGACAUGGGCCUUGCCUGGAGGAUUUUACAAUCCAAGAUGCCUAUUUCAUGCAUUGUAAACCUUACCCAACAGUCAGACCACAGUCCAGGUGAUUACUGUACAGGUCCUCACCUGCAAGGAAAAGAUCAGUAAUGCAGAAAGAACACCAUAUGGCUAAUAAGUUGCAGUUCCACCCUUACCUCAUAAAAGGUAAUCCGCUUGGAGCCCAUGGACUUCUUGCUUAAAGAAUUAUUCACCUAUGACAUGGCACUUUUCCAUCUGCUGAAAAACAUCAUCUGUGACAGUAACUUGUUUCAGUGAAACUAUGAACGUUAGACAGAUGAAAAGGAUUCAAACUGGCUCCCAGGUAGGUCUAUGCACACUCAUCCACAAGAUGUACUGGAUUAGGAGGCCCUGACUGCUAAAACCUCUUGCAGCAGCAGUGUGUGAAAUCUGUUCUAUUGCUCUGAGUUCUUGAAGUGAAGGUACUACAGACUGAAUUAUCUGGAGGAGAGGUGAAUCUCCCAGCCAGCUAGAUUCAUGGAAGAGCUGGAGGCUGAGUCAAAGCAAGAGACGCAUACAAGAAAAUGCAGCAUGAUGACUAUGGAGAAAAGACUGAGCAGCUAGUAGUGUGGAACAGGAAGGCUAAGAAUUGGGAAAUAUACCCCUCAUGCUUCCAGUAACUGCAGUACGAGGUCAGAGGUUUUGUCCUACUAUCAGGACAGCAAGACUCUUAUUGUAUUGCAUUUCAAUUGAGUUGCUUCAGAGGGUAAGUGAAAAAAUGUUAGUUUAGCUUUCACUGUAAUUGCUAAAACAAUUGUGCAUUAUGUAUUUAAUUUUUAAUCCUGGCAGCCCUAAUAAAGAAAUAACAAUUACUUGAAGCAUCUGAGUAUGUAUGGGAACACAGCAAUGACUAGAGUUAGUAUAGACUAGUGCUUGGAGCUUCUGAGCUCCGAACAUACAAAAUAUGGUACCAAACUUCUAGAUAUUCUGGCAUGUCAGAGUAUUCACAGCAAUAACUGGCAAUGGGAGUGGUUGCAGUAUUUUCAGUUCUUAUUCAACAAGAGCUGUAGAAUAGUUUUGAAAAACCAAGUAUUAGCUGAAAACUAAACUGUAAUAAUUCUAAGGGAAAAGUCAUUACAGAAACUUUUGGGUAUGUGAUUUUAGUUGCAUACUCCAACUUCAGAAAUAUGCCAGAGAAGAUGCUUCAUGAAACACCUCUGUAGUUUAUCUCAAACCAUUAGUUCAGCACACCUUCAACCAGUGUAUUUCCAGGUUUGGAAGAGGCACACAAGACCAGGUGGCUGAGGCAUGCUCAAGACCAGCCUGGCUUGGAUACGUUACCACUGCAGUGUAGACUUAUUCGUAGCAUAUCAGGACAAAGAAAUAGAACCCACCCACCACUGGGUCCUUUGCUUUGCUGUUCCUUCCCUUUUACCUGAAUUGUAGCAGUCUUGUAGCUGUGAUGGUUCCCUGAAGAAUUUCUCUGGCAUAUUUCUGAAGUUGGCAUAUGUGUGUGCAAGCAGAUAGCUGUGGUAUACAUGGAAUGGCCCACUCAGGACAUGCUGUCACUGCAGGAUAGACAUGCACUAGAUCUUUGGACAAAUCAUUUAUGGUAGAUGGCCUCUACCACUUCUGUACCUCGUUAGGGUGUGGCAAGGUUUAAUCUCAUUGUAAAACAUCUUAAGAACCUUGUAAAACAUUUGCAGAGCCCAUUCACUAGUAGCCUGCCCUCUUCCCACCACGGACAGGAAACUGCUGUGCCUAUUGAGCUGCAAACCCCAGUCCAUGCUAGGCUCCAGCUCUGCUCUCUGGCAGGCUGUAAUGGAGUCAAUUUUCCCUCUGUACUUUUGGAGGACAGGGAAACAGAACAAUCAGGGAUGCUGGCGGAGUAAGAAACCCUUUGGGUGAACAUAAAGUGACAAUUUUUGCCUGAUCAGGCCACAGAAAGCAGUCUAAAGUCAUGAUCAAACAAGUGCAUGGCUGCAGACCACUUAAAAAAAUGUCAUAGAUUUCAUAGACAUUAGGGCUG
Long non-coding RNA from Alligator sinensis (Chinese alligator), 2672 nucleotides. RefSeq lists it as uncharacterized. The record is from RefSeq and is a predicted model, not a curated record. The transcript is spliced from 5 exons. NCBI's taxonomy places the organism in Eukaryota, Metazoa, Chordata, Crocodylia, Alligatoridae.